Molecule: ribosomal RNA, 968 nt
Filed under: Pleosporales sp. Pi-GPC
Lineage: Eukaryota; Fungi; Ascomycota; Dothideomycetes; Pleosporales
Description: eukaryotic LSU rRNA
Rfam family: Eukaryotic large subunit ribosomal RNA (bases 383-968)
Source: RNAcentral
CCUGCCAGUAGGACCUUUUAAAAACCCUUUGUAAUUGCAAUCAGCGUCAGAAACAACGUAAUCGUUACAACUUUCAACAACGGAUCUCUUGGUUCUGGCAUCGAUGAAGAACGCAGCGAAAUGCGAUAAGUAGUGUGAAUUGCAGAAUNCAGUGAAUCAUCGAAUCUUUGAACGCACANUGCGCCCCUUGGUAUUCCAUGGGNCAUGCCUGUUCGAGCGUCAUUUGUACCCUCCAGCCCUGCUGGGUGUUGGGCGUUUUGUUCCGCCGCGCGCGUGAACUCGCCUCAAAUGCAUUGGCAGCCCGCCGUCCUGUGUGGGAGCGCAGCACAUUUUGCGUUCUCCACUGCUGACGGUGGCAUCCACAAGUUUACCAUUUUACGCUUGACCUCGGAUCAGGUAGGGAUACCCGCUGAACUUAAGCAUAUCAAUAAGCGGAGGAAAAGAAACCAACAGGGAUUGCCCUAGUAACGGCGAGUGAAGCGGCAACAGCUCAAAUUUGAAAUCUGGCGCUUUCAGCGUCCGAGUUGUAAUUUGCAGAGGGCGCUUUGGCGUUGGCAGCGGUCCAAGUUCCUUGGAACAGGUCGUCACAGAGGGUGAGAAUCCCGUACGUGGCCGCAUGUCUUCGCCGUGUAAAGCCCCUUCGACGAGUCGAGUUGUUUGGGAAUGCAGCUCUAAAUGGGAGGUAAAUUUCUUCUAAAGCUAAAUACUGGCCAGAGACCGAUAGCGCACAAGUAGAGUGAUCGAAAGAUGAAAAGCACUUUGGAAAGAGAGUCAAACAGCACGUGAAAUUGUUGAAAGGGAAGCGCUUGCAGCCAGACUUGCCUGCCGUUGCUCAUCCGGGCUUUUGCCCGGUGCAUUCUUCGGUAGGCAGGCCAGCAUCAGUUUGGGCGGUGGGAUAAAGGUCUCUGUCACGUACCUCCUUUCGGGGAGGCCUUAUAGGGGAGACGUCAUGCCACCAGCCUGGACUG